AUGGGGGUUUCACCAUGUUGGCCAGGCUGGUCUCGAACUCCUGACCUCAGGUGGUCAGCCCACCUUGGCCUCUCAAAGUGCUGGGAUUACAGGCAUGAGCCACCAUGCCUGGCCAGCUUACCCUUUUUGUUGUUCAAGGUUAUGCUUUGGGGAUUUGCCUGUGUUCAUACAGAGAGCUGCAGUUCAGUCAGUUCAAGUCUGAAGUCUAGAGUAUUCCACCGGGUUAAUACACCACCAGUUAUGUAUUCAUUUUUCUGCUGUGGGCAUUUAGGAUGUUGCAAGUUUGUGCUGUUACUUCAAUUAACAGUUUCCUAUCAGCCUGCUUGUCUUCUUGCUAGAAUGUGUCUAGAGCGCGUAUCUAGGAGUGGAAUUGCUGGGUCAAGGGAUCUGCAAAUAUCCAGCCUCACCAUAUGUUACCAAAUUGGAUUUCACAGUGAUCAAUAGCAACAUAAACUCUCACUGGUGGUGUGGAACAGUUCCUGUGGCCCUGCCUGCUCACCAGACAUUUAGUGUUGCCAAAAUGUGUAAUUUUUGGCCAAUCUGGUGGGUAGGAAACUCACUGUUCAGUAUUUGAGGACUCAAGAGCUAGGAAAUGCUUAAGAGGGAAGGUUACUGACCGUUUUUGAGGACCUGCUCUGGGCAAGGCACUGCAACACCAUCUGCUUGAAUUCUCCUAGCAAACUCUGCUAACUUGAUAUGAAUAUCCUCUUUUCACUAAUGAGGAAAUCGAGGCUGGUUCAGGGUCCCACUGAUGGUGGAAGAGCCAGGAUUCGAGUUCAGCUCUGUCUGUCCCCCAAACCCCGCCCUCCCCUUACCAACUUCUCCAUAGUCCAAAUGUCUCACCUCCACAGAGAAGAAAAUCAUGCUCUAGAGAGGCAAGGCAGCGUGACUGUCCCACAAUGAGCAGGUGGCAGAGAGGACUGGAAGCCUGCUCCAUAGGGGUGACCGACCUGUGAGAGCUCUCCCUGGAAGCUCUCCUGGCUCUCCUGGCCCUGUGGCAUCCACAUACCCUGAGCAGGACCACCACAGGGCAACGUCACUAUUGCUGCCCAGUUCCUGAACCUGCCCCAUCUCCUGGCCUUUGGGAGAGGGGGAUGUUAGCUACAAGCUGUCACUUAUGUGCCAGGAGGUGUGCUAUGUGGUGUACUUACAUGACCUAGAUAUCCUCAUCAUUUCCAUUUUGCAGGUGAUGUGAUGAAACUCAGAGAGCUUCGUUUCCCCCAUGCUGUUCCCACUCACACACCCUGGCCUCAAGCCCCACGUUCUCACUCUCUUUUCCAGCCAGGAGAAUGCCAGAAAUGUGCCUGGAGGGAAAUAGCUGGGGAGAUGAGCCUCAUUUUACUGCUUCUGUUCAAGGCUCUUCCAAGCUGAGUGUUAAAUGCCAUUCCUUUUUUCUUUUCCUAAAAUGAACUGUACUUAAAAAAAAAAAAAAACCCCAACCUUUUAACUUUAGAAUAGUUUGAGAUGUACAGAAAAGUUGCGAAGCUGAUAUAGAGUUUCCAUAUACCCCAAACCCAGAUUCUCGUAGUUAACAUGUGACAUUAGCAAGGUAUGUUUGUCACAAUUCAUGAACCAGUAUUAUUAAUUAUAAUAUUAUAACUAAAGCCCAUACUUUACUCAGAUUUCCUUAGUUGUUUUGUUGUUGUUUUGUUUUUGUUUGUUUGAGACAGAGUCUCGCUGUGUCACCCAGGUUAGAGCACAAUGACUCAAUCUCGGCCCACUGCAACCUCCACUUCCUGGGAUCAGGUGAUUCUCCUGCCUCAACCUCCCACGUAGCUGGGAUUACAGGUGCCUACCACCAUGUCUGGCUAAUUGUUGUAUUUUCCUAGAGACAGGGUUUUGCUAUGUUGGCAAGGCUGGUUUCCAACUCCUGACCUCAGGUGAUCCGCCCGCCUUGGCCUCCCAAAGUGCUGAGAUUAUAGGCAUGAGCCACUGUGCCUGGCCAGGUUUCCUUAAUUUUUACCUAAAUGUCUGUUUCCCGCCCCAGGAUCCCAUCUGGAAUACCACAUAGUCA
This 2014-nucleotide long non-coding RNA is filed under the name Papio anubis (olive baboon). RNAcentral describes it as "lncRNA (ENSPANG00000047299.1)". The record is from RNAcentral. Lineage: Eukaryota; Metazoa; Chordata; Mammalia; Primates; Cercopithecidae.